Molecule: transfer RNA, 70 nt
Filed under: Lichenostomus cassidix (helmeted honeyeater)
Lineage: Eukaryota; Metazoa; Chordata; Aves; Passeriformes; Meliphagidae
Description: tRNA-Lys
Source: RNAcentral
CAUUAAGAAGCUAUGAACCAGCACUAGCCUUUUAAGCUAGAGACAGAGGACAGACAUCCCUCCUUAAUGG